GGGCCUUUAGCUCAGUUGGUUAGAGCUGCGGACUCAUAAUCCGUAUGUCCCUGGUUCAAGUCCAGGAAGGCCCA
This 74-nucleotide transfer RNA is filed under the name Treponema sp. Its description in RNAcentral is "tRNA-Ile". It matches the Rfam family "tRNA". Rfam says of the family: Transfer RNA (tRNA) molecules are approximately 80 nucleotides in length. Their secondary structure includes four short double-helical elements and three loops (D, anti-codon, and T loops). Further hydrogen bonds mediate the characteristic L-shaped molecular structure. tRNAs have two regions of fundamental functional importance: the anti-codon, which is responsible for specific mRNA codon recognition, and the 3' end, to which the tRNAs corresponding amino acid is attached (by aminoacyl-tRNA synthetases). tRNAs cope with the degeneracy of the genetic code in two manners: having more than one tRNA (with a specific anti-codon) for a particular amino acid; and 'wobble' base-pairing, i.e. permitting non-standard base-pairing at the 3rd anti-codon position. The record is from RNAcentral. Lineage: Bacteria; Pseudomonadati; Spirochaetota; Spirochaetia; Treponematales; Treponemataceae.